UUAAGAUUUUCUCAAAUCUUUUUAAUAUUUCUUGUAUAUUUUGUUCAUUUAAGGAAUUUCUAUUAUCUAGUACUUCAGUUCUAUUUGCUCCAUAUUUUACACCUCCUUUGAUGGUUUCUGGUAACUUUCUCCACCAUUCAGAGACAGUUCCUCUAAAUGUGUGUUCUAUAAAUCCAAAAGCCGUAUAUGUUUCCCAUUUAUUAAAUUGUAUAGCUAAAUCUGUACUUUUUAUCCAUGUUUCAAUAGCUUUAUUUUUAUCUACACAAUCUAAAUCUAACCAUAUUCCUGUUGUGUG
RNAcentral lists this long non-coding RNA (295 nucleotides) under Olea europaea (common olive). RNAcentral's name for it is "long non-coding RNA (OEUR_LNC007354)". The record is from RNAcentral. Lineage: Eukaryota; Viridiplantae; Streptophyta; Magnoliopsida; Lamiales; Oleaceae.